Molecule: long non-coding RNA, 246 nt
Filed under: Manihot esculenta (cassava)
Lineage: Eukaryota; Viridiplantae; Streptophyta; Magnoliopsida; Malpighiales; Euphorbiaceae
Description: long non-coding RNA (MESC_LNC003836)
Source: RNAcentral
GAGGAGAUGUAGGGGUUGAGAGACGAGCGUUCGAGCGAUAGAUGAUGCAAGCGAUAGGCGACAAAUCGGUUGGCAGGUGAUGGGAGCCGCAAGCAACAUGAGCACCAUGUGAUUCGAGCGAUAGACAAUGGGAGUAGCAAGGAAUGGGAGCAACGCGAGCAGCAUGUGAUGGAUCAACAGGCAAUGCGAGCGACGGUCGAUCAUGAGCAGCGAAUGACGAUGAGGAGCAGGCAAAAGGAAGCAGCG